Molecule: long non-coding RNA, 353 nt
Organism: Priapulus caudatus
Lineage: Eukaryota; Metazoa; Priapulida; Priapulimorpha; Priapulimorphida; Priapulidae
Exons: 3
Source: RefSeq, a predicted model, not a curated record
GAGGGAGGAGGAGAAGGCGCGCCGGAAGGGGAAGCCAGACGCGGACGGAAGCUCCAGCAAGGAGGGGGCCGCGUCGAAGCUCACCUACGCAGAGUUCUGUGAGCUGCUGAAGUCGGUGUGGACGUCGACCCUCAACCAGCUCGACCCCCAGCUCAACCCCUUCCUCAGUAUGCCCACCAGCUGGUACCAAGGUCUCUUCAAGGUCCUCAUGAGCAAGUUCGGUGAGACGACUGUCCGCCAUUUUCUCUCGCCAGAUGGCAGCGUGCAAUAUCUAGCCUUACUCAAUCCGAACUAUCUUGACAUGUUUAUGAUGGUCAGCGUUGACACGCGGGAAAACAAAGCUGUAAGUGUGU